AGCUGCAGUCGGCUCCCACCUGGACCAGGACCACAGGACCAGCGGUGACCACAGUCCUUUCAACGAGGACCAGGACCAGCGCUGACCACUGUCCCUUCCCACGGGGACCAGGACCAGCUCUGAUCACUCUCCCUUCCCAUGGGGCCCAGGACCAGCGGUGACCACAGUCCUUUCCCAUGGUGAACUAGGACUGGCAGUCACCACAGUCCCUCCUAUGAAGACAAUGACCAGUGGUGACCACAGACCAUUCCCACGGGGACCAGGACCAGUGGUGACCACUGUCCCUUCCCAAGGGGACCAGGACCAGGAAUGACCACUGUCCCUCCCCAUAGUGACCAGGAUCAGGAAUGGCAUGGUCCCUUCCAUGGUGACCAGGACCAGCAGUGACCACAGUCCCUUUCCAUGGAAACCAGUGAUGGCCAUGAGUGAACUUCACGGAGCACCCAGAUGGCUGUGGGUCUGUGCCCACCAGGACCAGCAGAGACCUCGGAUUCCCUCCCACAGGGUGCUGCAGAGAGAGCUCUCAGCCUCAUUUUCCAUGACAACCUGAGGGGAGCCUUGGUCCCCACGAAGCCCAGGAAUCCUUUCUAGUCCCAAAUUCCUUCCCAGGCCAGACUACCCUAAAACAAACCAGAGGAGGGGAACUCCUCCUGUGUGAGCAGACAGUGGAAACCCAUUUCAGGGCCACGCCUGUGGGUGAGAAAGAUGUUGGAUCGGGAACUCGGGGCUCAUCAGGGCACAUGGGCUGCACCUGGACUGGAUCUCCAAAGCAGGACACCUUGGUCUCAAGAUCACCUUAAAGUACUGUAGGACUGCUGCAGCUCCUCCCAUCACAUCUACAUUCCAGACAGCAGGAGGGAAAGGCAAAACUGGUGCAUUCCAAAUGGUGUAUUUCAUUGUAAAGGGGCUUCCUAAAAAUGCAAACAGCUCCAUGCCUUUAUCGUAUUGGCCACGUGACCACUUCUUGCACCCAAGGACGCUGAGAGGUAAAAAUUGCCUGACUCGGUGGUUCUCUCUAUUCCAGUCUCUCUGCAGCUUAGCACUGGUAAACCAGAUGCAGAACUUUUCUCUGGAGGACUUUCGGAAGUCUGGGGGUGGAGAAGGAAAUUUGUUGUCAGAAUGACUGAGGAAUGCCAUCAAUAUUUCAUGACCAGGCCUGGAAGUUUUAACACCUUGCAGUGUAUAGGACAUCCCUGCCUAAAGAAAAAAUGCUCUUCCCCAAAUGCCAGUAGAUACCUGUAUUAGUUAAGGUUCUCCAGGGAAACAGAACUAAUGGGAGAUUUACAUGCAUAAAUGGAAAUUUAUUAUGAGGCAUCAGCUCAUGUAAUCAUGAAGGCUGAGACAUACCAUGAUCUUCUGUCUGCCACACAAAGACCUAGGAAAGCUGGUGGUGUCAUUCAGGUCUGGUCUUAAGGCCUGAGCAAUGGUGUAAGUCCCAGUUUCGGGGAGGAGGGGGAAUGGUGGGAGUGGUUGCUGAGAAGAUGCCAUGAAAUGUGCCAGCUUGAGCAGUGAGGCAGUGGGGAAAACGGAGGGUGGUGGGGAUGGGGUGCAAAUUCCUCUUUCCUCCGUUUUUUUUCUUUGAGACAGUUUUUCUCUGUCACCCAGGCUGGAGUGCAGUGGUGGGAUCUCGGCUCACUGCAAACUCUGCCUCCUGGAUUCAAGCGAUUCUCCUGCCUCAGCCUCUUGAGUAGCUAGGAUAACGCACUACCCAGCUAGGCGUGGGUAGGCACGCACUACCACACCCGGCUAAUUUUUGCAUUUUUAGUUGAGAUGGGGUUUUGCCAAAGCCAUUUUGGCCAGGCUGGUCUUGAACUCCUGACCUCAAGUGAUUCACCGGCCUGCCAAGGGCUGGGAUCACAGGCCUGGUCUACUCCAAUUUUUUUGGCCUACAUAGGCCUUCAGCAGAAUGGAUGAAGCCCACACACCGGGGAGGACACUUGCUCAAACGAGUUCACGGACACAGAUCUCAUCUGGAAACAUGCGCCUGGGUACACCUUGAAGCAACGUCCGAUGUGGGCACCUGCUAUGGUCUGGAUUUGUGUCCCCACCAAAAACUCAUGUGGAACUGUCAUUCCCAAUGCUGGAGGUGGGCCUGGUGGGAGGUGGCUGGGUCAUGGGGAUGGAUCUCCCAGGAAUGGUUUCGCACCAUCCCAUUGGAACUGUCCUGGUGAGAGGGAGUGAGUUCUCCCCAGCUCUGGGUGUUCAGAAACGUGCAGCACCUCCCCAACUCUCUUGCUCCUGGUCCCGCCAUGUGAGAUGCCUCACGCCCCGUUUGCCUCCUGCCGUGAUUAGAAGCUUCCUGAGGCCUCCCCAGAAGCACAAGCUGUGGUGCUUCCUGCACAGCCUACAGAACCUCAAGCCAAUUAAUCCUCUUUUCUUUAAAAACUACCCAGGCUCAAGUAUUCUUUUUUUUUUUCUUUUCUUCUCUUUUGAGACAGGGUCUCUCUCACUUGGGUGCCCAGGCUGGAAUGCAGUGGCGCAAUCUUGGCUUGCUGCAACCUCCACCUCCUGGGUUCAAGCAAUUCUCCUGCCUCAGCCUCCUGAGUAGCUGGAAUGACAGGUGCAUGCCGCCAUGCUUGGCUAAUUUUUAUAUUUUUAGUAGAGAUCAGAUUUCACUGUGUUGGCCAUGCUAGUCUCCAACUCCUGACCUCAGGUGAUCUGCCCGCCUUGGCCUCCCAAAGUGCUGAGAUUACAGGCUAUGCCUGCCUUGGCCUCCCAAAGUGCUGAGAUUACAGGCUAUGCCCGCCUUGGCCUCCCAAAGUGCUGAGAUUACAGGCCUCAGCCACUGUAAACGGCUUUUAGGUUUUUGGGGGGAUGGAGUCUUGUUCUGUCACCCAGACUGGAGUGCAGUGGCGCAAUCUUGGCUCACUGCAACUGCCGCCUCCUGGGGUUUAAGUGAUUCUCAUGCCUCAGCCACCCGAGUAGCUGGGAUUAAAGGCAUGAGCCACCACACCCAGCUAUUUUAGUAUUUUUAGUAGAGAUGGGGUUUCACCAUGUUGGUCAGGCUGGUCUCAAACUCCUGCCUCAUGUGAUCCACCCGCCUUGGCCUCCCAAAGUACCGGAUGACAAGUGUGAGCCACCACACCCGGCAUCGGGUCUUUCUUUAUGGCGGUAUGAGAAUGGUCUAAUACAGCACCCCAUGUUCCCAGUCAAGCUGACACAGAAAAUUCACUACAAUAGGUGGUUAAUUCCUCAUGACUGAGGGACAAACAUGGUGAAUACCUUUUUGUUUUCCAAAACGGAAGUAAUUCUCUACUGCUGGGCAUGGCUUCCUUCUCCUCCCAACUGGCCUCUCCCUGGCCCAAGGCUUCCUAGGGCUGCAUAACAAAGGACCAGGAACUCCUCCGUGGCCUAAGCCUGUCCUCUGGAAGCUCUGGAGGACCAGGAACUCCUCCGUGGCCUAAGCCUGUCCUCUGGAAGCUCUGGAGGACCAGGAACUCCUCCGUGGCCUAAGCCUGUCCUCUGGAAGCUCUGGAGGACCAGGAACUCCUCCGUGGCCUAAGCCCGUCUCUGGAAGCUCUGUGGGACAGAGGUCUGGGAUCACAGUGUCAGCAGAGUGGCCCUACCUCGGGAGCCUCUUGUAGGGAACCUGUUAGUUGUAUCUUUCAGCUUCUGGUGGUUGUUGGUGUUUCUUUGUUCUUUUUUAUAUUUUUUAAAAUUUAGUUAGAGACAGGGUCUCCCUGUGUAGCCCAGGCUAGUCUCAAACUCCUGGUCUUAAGCAAUCCUCCUGCUUUGGUCUCACAAAGGGCUGGGGUUGCAGGUGUGAGUCAUGGGGCCCAGCCUGUCGGUGUUUCCUGACUUGUGUUCCAUCACUGCAGCCUCUGCUUUCAGGAUCACAUGGCCUCCUCCUCUGCUGGAGCAUCUCCUCCUGUAAGUUUUUUUGUUUUUGUUUUUUUUUUUGAAACAGAGCCUCACUCUGUUGCCUAGGCUGGGAUCUUGGCUCACUGCAACCUCUUCCUCCAGGGUUCAAGCAAUUCUCCUGCCUCAGCCUCCCAAGUAGCUGGGACUACAGGCAUAAGCCACUGUGCCCAGCUAACUUUUGUAUUCUUAGUAGCGAUGGGGUUUUGCCGUUUUGGCCAGGCUGGUCUCAAACUCCUGGCCUCAAGUGAUCUGCCCACCUUCCUUGGCCUCCCAAAGUGCUGGGUGUGAGCCACUGCACCUGCCCAGAUGACUGCAUUGAUGAAGGCCCCCAGUCUCCUCAUCUGGGGCUAUUCUCCACCUUCCCUAACACUGAGGCUCUUUGUCCCUCUCUCCUGUCUUGAUCCUUUUCUGCAUUAUAGCCACAGAGCAGUCAGCCCCUUCCCCCCAACUGGAUAGUGACCUCCUGGUCUGCCACGUCAUCUGUAUCUAAAACCUCUGCUUGCCUGGGACAGUGACAUGCCUGCAUAAAGGCAGGCAUCAACGUUUGCUGAGUUUCAUCAAAUCUUUAACUGUGCACUCUUAUAAGAUUUUAUUCCUAUAAGAAUGCAUUUCUGACUUUUUUGAGACAGAAUCUUGCUCUGUCGCCCAGACUGGAGUGAAAUGGCUGGAUCUCGGCUCACUGCAAUCUCUGCCUCCCAGGUUCAAGUGAUUCAUCAGCCUCAGCCUCCCAAGUACCUGGAUUCCAGGUACUUGGGAGGCUGAGGCUGAUGAUAUGCUACCACAUCCGGCUAAGUUUUUGUAUUUUUAGUAGGGAUUUUACCAUGAUGGGGUUUAACCACGUUGGCCAGGCUGGUCUUGAAAACCUGACCUCAAGUGAUCCACCCACCUCAGCCUCUCAAAGUGCUGGGAUUAAAGGCGUGAGCCACCGCGCCUGGCCCAUUUCUGACUUUUUAAUGGAAGUCAGUUUUAGAAGGGGAUUUUCUGGGCUGAAAUUCACUGGUAUUUGAUUGGUCUGGAAUACACCUGUUCCACAAGCUAAGCUAUUCUGACAUCUCUUUUGGGACCCAUUACUUUACACGUUCAUGGCUUUAGUUUACCCAUUUGUAAAAUAAGAAAAAAACUAUAAAGAAUAUCAUAGUUAAUUAGUUCUUUUGAUGAAGUCUUUUAUGGUGCUCUCAAGUAGAUAACAUAAAAGGAUACAAAAUCAGAUAUGUUGUUAUGGGAUAACGUAGAAAUCAUUACUGAGGAGGGGAGCAGCACAACUGAAGUUGUAGGCGUCUCUCAUAAGAUUUCUCCAGAUGCUUCUAAUGGGAGAAUCUUCCAAUAAAUGUAAAGCCAAAUCUGCUUUUUGCUUUGAUCAUAGCGUUUGCUCAGACUAUUUUUCUAGUUCCGAGUGCCAGGGAAAAUGAAACUUUAUUAUCUACCCUAUAUAAAAAUGAUAGCAUUUUCAAGAGAAAGCAUGGUGGGCAUACUGACUUUGGAAGUGGCUCUGUGAUAAAAAUCAACACGACAUCUCUCCUUUUUCCCUUUAGAGCAUUUAUAAGAAAGGCACUCUGUUCUAUCAAAGUUUUUAGUCUUCAUACCAUCAUUGCUCCCUAUAAUACAGCAAACUAUGAAUGUUCUGUGUGUGUGUGUGUGUGUGAGAGAGAGACAGGGGGGUGGGGGGAAGAAGAGAGAGGGAGAGAGAGAUACAGAAGGAGACAGGGACAGAGAGGGGUAAAAGAGAGGGAGAGAGAGAUGGAGAGCGAGCUACAUAGAGAGGAAGAAGAAGAGAUGGAGGAAAAGAGAAAUGCACAUUUGAGAAAAGCAGGUGCACAUGGAAUUGUGGUUUGUUUGCCCUAGUUGUGUUUCCUUUUCCUGACUUUUAUUAACAGCACUUGAAAGUGACCAAAUGCAAAAAAAAAAAAAAAAAGAAAGAAAGAAAGAAAAGAAUCUGUUAGUCUGGAAGUAUCUAGCUCCUGCUAGUGUUGCUUAAUGAACAUGAUGAAGUCAAUCAACCAGAAAUAAGUGAUUUCUUCCCUUUGAGCUUCUGGCAAAAAAUCAGGGUUUCGAUUCCCACUGCUGUUCUGAAGACAGUGCAGACCCAAUUCUUAACUUUGCAGCCCAAAGCUGCUCUUCACAAAGACUGCAGUUCCAGCAAAGGAGACAGUGAGCGUAACAGCGCGUGGCACAGCCGUCGGGAUCAGACGCUUACUCAGGGAUGACGGGCUCCCCGCGAACUGCUUCCAGUAGCAACCUGAUGUGGCAGAGGUCCAUAUUUACUCUUUUCACAUUUUAAUUUAUUUUUAAUUAAAUAAGUAAGAUAUGUUUAAGAAAUGCAGAUAAGCAAAAAAGAAUUGUAAAAAUCACAAAGCUUGGUGAGGUGGCUCACGCUUAUAAUCCCAGCACUUAGGGAGGCCGAGGCAGGCAGAUCACCUAGCUCACCUGAGAGUGGGAGUUUGAGACCAGCACGACCAACAUGAGAAACCCCGUCUCUACUAAAAAUAGAAAAUUACCCAGGUGUGGAGGUGCACACCUGUAAUCCCAGCUACUCGGGAGGCUGAGGCAGGAGAAUUGCUUGAACCUAGGAGGUGAAAGAUUGCAGUGAGCUGAGAUCACACCACUGCACUCCAGCCUGGGCAACAAGAGCAAAAAGUUGUCUCAAAAAAAAACCACAAAAAUCCCGUUUCCCUGAGAUAACCACUGUUAAUAUUGUGGCUUCAAGUUUUCCCUGACUUGACACGCAACCAUCGCAACAGUCCACUUUAUUGUGUGUGUACCAGGAACCUAACGUUCUUCUAAGCACUGUUCAGUGUUCUUCAAUGAAUCCUCCCACAUCCUAAACUGAAGGGACUGUUCUCACCAUUUCAGACAGUGAGCUGGAGACACAGGAAGGUUCGAUGCCUCCCAGAGGUCAUGCAGGCAUUGGAAACACUUCACUGCUUCUUUGAUUCUGCUGCGUGGGCACAGUAUUCUCGCUGGUUCUUGCUCCGUUUUGUUUGUGUUUGUCAUUUUUGGCACAAGAAAUAGAAACACCCUACACACUUUUUGUAUUAUGCUGUUUAUUACUUAAUAACUGUGGUAGGCAAAAUUCUAACAGGGCCCACUAGAGUUCCCAUCCCUGGUGUGCACACACACCUCCUCCUGAUUCCAUCACAUGUCCAUCCGGGGGCUGUCACAGAGAGAAUCUGCAGAUGAGACUUAAUCCCCAGAUUAAGUGACCUUAAAAUAGGAAGAUUAUGCAGGAUGAGCCUCAUCUAUAAUUGUCUCCUUGAAAGGACUGAGCAUUUCCUCAGGUCGGAAAGAUUCAAAGGGUGAGAGGGACUUGAUGUCCGGGAAGUUCUCUACUGCUCCUCCGAAGACAGACAACUGCGUAAUGGGGGAGGCAGGCCGGCUCUAGGAGCUGAGAGCAGCCCCCAACAGUCAGGCAGCAAGGAAGUGACCCUUCAAGCCAUCUCCUCGAGGAACCACCUCCUGCCACAACCACGAAGCACGAAAGAGAGCCCUGACCUCCAGAAGAGAUUUCGGCCUGGCCAACACUUUCAUCUCAGCUUCCUGAGACCCUGGACAGAGAAGCCAGUCGUGCCAAUGCCCAGACUUCCCACCUCCCGAAGCCUGUGAGCUCAUAAAUGGGUGCUGUUUCAAGCUGCUGAAGUACUGGUCAUGUGCUACGCAGCAACAGAACAAUAAUAUAAUACUGUGUCAUGAAUACUUUUCCAACUCCAAAUCCUCCACCUGUGGUACCAUUUGAAUAGCGACACAGAAUUCCCGUACAUGCGCGCACUGGAGUUGACUUCAUCUCUGCCUUGGUGUUGCCCAUCUGCGCCUUUUCCACUCAUUUGGCGAUUAUACGCAACAUCGUAAUGAACGUUUUACUGGCUGGAGUGCAUCAGCACCACCUCGGCUCACUACAACCUCCACCUCCUGGGUUCAAGCGAUUCUCCUGCUUCAGCCUCCAAAGUAGUUGAGACCACAGGCACAUGCCACCACUAGCCUGGCUUUUUGUGUUUUAGUAGAGACAGGGUUUCACCAUGUUGGCCAGGCUGGUCUCGAACUCCUGACCUCAGGUGAUCCACUCACCUCAGCCUCCAAAAUGGUGGGAUUUAAACUGUCUUUCUGAAACAAGUGUUUCCCUCAUCUCUAUCUCCUUCUGAAAUGCUUAGUUCUCUGGUUCCACAAGAUGUUCUCUGGCAACUCCAAGCUUAUAUCUCUUUACUAUCAAACUCAAUAGAAAAGAGAAUGACUUCUUCCUGCUCAUUCCAGAAUACAUUCUGGGAUUAGUUCUGACCAACUUGAUCACAUGUCCAUCUCUGAACCAAUUACUUUAUUUUCAUUAUUUUAUUUUAUUUUAUUUUGAGAUGGAAUGUUACUCUGUUGCCCAGGCUGGAGUGCAGGGCAUGAGCUCAGCUCACUGCAACCUCUGUCUCCUGGCUUUAAGCAAUUCUCCUGGGUCAGCCUCUCUGGUAGGGGGAUUACAGGUGUGUGCCACCAUGCCCAGAUAAUUUUUAUAUUUUUAGUAGAGACAGGUUUUCACCAUGUUGGCCAGGCUGGUCUCAAACCCCUGACCUCAGGUGAUCUGCUCACUUUGGCCUCCGAAAGUGUUGGGUUUAUAGGCGUAAGCCACCGUGCCCAGCCUGAAGCAAUUAAUUUGGCUCAGUAGAUGUGACCCUGCGGAUUGGACAGGCGUAGGUCAAAUGCCCACUCUUAGGCUGGGGCAUCCAGCGGCCCUACCUAAAUCACAGGGGGCAUUGAUUAGCUAAGGAAAUCCAGGUGCAGUCACCAGAAGGGACCCAACAAGAGUUGUCCUCGAAAGAGCCUGCUGCUCACUGUGCCAAUUUUAUUUGUUGGAUGUUUAUCUUUUCAUAAUAUUCUUUAGAACUUGUUAUAAAAUAAGAACAUUAACUUUCUCGAGGUUGAAGCAGGAGAAUCUCUUGAACCUGGGAGGCGGAGGUUGCAGUGAGCAGAGAUCGCGCCACUGCACUCCAGCCUGGGUGACAGAGUGAGACUCUGUCUCAAAAAAAGAAAAAGAACAUUUACUUUGUCUUAGCUAUAAUACUUCCAUUUCUUCUUAGUUGGUGUGCUGUCAACAGCAAUUAUUAUUUUUUAUACGCAUAAGUUUUAAAUCUUUAUGUAGUCAAAUUAUUUUUUCCUGCAUGCCUUCUGCCUUUUAGUGUUAGGCUUAAGAAGGCAUUUUCACUCGAAGAUUAUAUAUUUGCCAAUAUUUUCUCCUAGUGCUUUUAUAUUUUCAGUUUAUUCUAAUAUUUAAUCCAUCUGGAAUUUAUGUUGGUACAAAAUAUGAAGCCUAUCUUCCCCCAUGUUUAGUGAUUCAUUCCAACAUAAUUUGUUUAACAAUGCAUCCUUUCCCCGUGAAUUGCUGAUACUUUCUCUUUUUUUUUUUUUUUUUGAGAUGUAGUCUCACUAUGGCGCCCAAGCUGGAGUGCAGUAGCACAAUCUUGGCUCACUGUGACCUCCACCUCCCGAGUUCAAGCAAUUCUCCCACCUCAGCUUCCCGAGUAGUAGCUGGGAUUACAGGUUUGCGUUAUCAUGCCAGGUUAAUUUUUGUAUUUUUAGUAGAGAUGGGGUUUCACCAUGUUGAUCAAGCUGGUUUCAAACUGCUGACCUCAGGUUAUCUGCCUGCCUUCGCCUCCCAGAGUGUCAGGAUUACAGGCGUGAGCCACUACACCUGACCAGAUCCCUUUAUUAUCAAAUACUGAGAUUUUUCUUUUUUUGCUUGCUUACUUAUUUAUUUAUUUGAGAUGGAGUCUUGCUCUGCUGCCCAGGCUGUAGUGCAGUGGUGCGAUCUCAGCUCACUGUAAUCUCUGCCUCUCAGGUUCCAGCAUUUCUCCUGCUUCAGCCUCCUGAGUAGCUGGGAUUACAGAUGCCUGUCACCAUGCCCAGCUGAUUUUUGUAUUUUCAGUAGAGACAGGAUUUCACCAUGUUGUCCAGCCUGGUCUGGAACUCCUGACCUCAGGUGAUCUGCCCAGCUUGGCUUCCCAAAGUGCUGGGAUUACAGGCAUGAGCCACCAUGCCAGGCAGCCUUUCCUUAUUAUUAUUAUUAUUUUUGAGACGGAGUUUCACUCUUGUUGCCCAGGCUGAAGUGCAAUGGCACGAUCUCAGCUCACUGCAAUCUCUACCUCUCGGGUUCAAGCAACUCUCCUGCCUCAGCCUUCUGAGUAGCUGCCAUCUUGGCCAGGCUAGUCUAGAACUCCUGACCUCGUGAUCCACCCACCUCAGCCUCCCAAAGUGCUGGGAUUACAGGCGUGAGUCACCACACCUGGCCCAUUAUUAUUUUUAAUUGACAUAAUAAUUGUACAUAAUUAUGGGGCAUAGGGUAGGAUUUUAAAACAUGUACUCCUAUGAGAACUUCUUAGCUUCCCCAUGGGUGAGAACGUGUGCUCUGUACCUCUCCGUGCCUGGCUUAUUUCACUGCAUGCAAUGAGUUAUUUCAUAUUAGUGCUUCCGCUCCUUCUUUGUAUUUAUCUUCACUGAUCUCUCCCGUAAGGCCUAACCUAGAAAACAAGUACACUUAUAAUUACCAAUUAACUAUUAUAUUAUUACAAUUUAGGCUAAGAUUGCUUUAAGGAGUUGUGAAAGAAGUGGCUAAAAGAGGAUAUUAGGUGUGGUCACACCAUCUUGCACUUCUUGCAAUAGAAGAAAGCAGAAGUUCAUUUUCUUUCACUUUCUCUCUUCACCUCCCUGCUUCUAUUGGCAAAGCCCAACUUUUGCAAAUGUCUUGGGGGUUUUUUCAACAGAGGAGGAAAAGUACCCAAGAAAUAGACAUUGCUACGCACAAGGGUCAAAUAAAGUGAGUGCCUGAAACAAGUCAAAUCAGAACCAGCUCCCUGACCAUCCGCUCUCACAUCCUGUCAAAAAAAACGCAAAUCAUGCUGGGAGCUGAACCGGUUCAUACUAAGGAUUAUUUGUAGCCAGAAAGAACUGCUGCAACAGCGACUCCUUGAAGUAAACAGAAUUUAUGCCAACUGUGACCCAAGGAGAUUCGGAAGACGUUUGACAUGGCCUGUGGCUGCACCAUGGCUAAUGACUUACGCUGUGGCCAGAUGCACGAGGAUGAGGGGGCCCAUGAGUCCCUCCCUAGGGAACUGGGAAAUCCGGAGAAGCUGAAUUACUGGCCGUGAGAGGUGCGGCUGAGCUGAGCUAAGGCUGAGCUGUCGUGACUCAGGGGCAGGUGUUCAACAGCUGUUUGUUGAGUGAGUGAGUGAUGUACAGAUGGCACAGAAAGGCUAUGAUGGCUGCUUGUAAGCCGAAGUUUUGAGGAAGCUGAAACUGUGAGUAAGGAGAGUCAACUGUCUGGCAGCAAGGCGAGAGCAACUCAAUAGAGAUGUGAGACAAGACACAGAAAUGCCAUCACACAGCCAGAGGAGCCAGGCAAUCCCCUGAAUGUCCUGUCUCUGAUGGUUUCUCAAUUCAUUGCCUCAAAUUGCACCCGCUGGAGCCCUGCACUGGGUGAGGCUCAGGAGACAGGGUGGUACCAGAGAAGGGAGACUCCUCAUACUUCCAAGUCUAGUCCAUACCACAGGCACCUUUGCAAAGAGUGCCCUUUCCCCUCUUCCAGAGGGCUCCUGAGGUGAAGAGCCAACAGACAAAAAUGUGUUUUGGAAGACACAGUUACCUAUCCCUUAGAUGCCUACUGUAUGGGUUAGGUCAUUUAUUUAUUUAUUUAUUUUAGCUGCAAAGGAGAAACUCAUAGGAUCACUUUUUGGGGCAGGAGUAUAUUGCAAGCACACCCAAUAAAGUGGGAGGAACGGCCUUACGUGAAUUCGUUAGCGAUACCGUCACUGGGGCUCAGCACAGGGGCUGCAAACUCAAUCGUUACAGGAGCCAGGCAGAAAACUCAUGGGUCCAGCAUGAGAAAAACAUCAGGAUGCCGUUCUUUUUUAUUUUAUUUUUUCAAUUUUUUGAUAAAAUUAUGAGAGGUGGUUUUUGGCUACAUGUAAUACAAAUAACAGAAAACCCAACAGUGACUUAAACAAUGUAAGACUUACUAUUAUCUCAUGCUCCCCGAGU
Molecule: long non-coding RNA, 11865 nt
Organism: Callithrix jacchus (white-tufted-ear marmoset)
Lineage: Eukaryota; Metazoa; Chordata; Mammalia; Primates; Cebidae
Source: RefSeq, a predicted model, not a curated record